This 268-nucleotide ribosomal RNA is filed under the name uncultured bacterium. Its description in RNAcentral is "partial 16S ribosomal RNA". It matches the Rfam family "Bacterial small subunit ribosomal RNA", at positions 28 to 334 of the family's 1533-position model. The record is from RNAcentral.
GAUGAACGCUGACAGAAUGCUUAACACAUGCAAGUCGACUCGAGUCUUCGGACUUGGGUGGCGCACGGGUGAGUAACGCGUAAAGAACUUGCCUCUUAGACCGGGACAACAUCUGGAAACGGAUGCUAAUACCGGAUAUUAUGGUUUGGCGGUGAUGGAUGGGGAUGCGUCUGAUUAGGUAGUUGGUAAGGUAACGGCUUACCAAGCCUUCGAUCAGUAGGGGUUCUGAGAGGAAGGUCCCCCACAUUGGAACUGAGACACGGUCCAA